Molecule: unclassified non-coding RNA, 1798 nt
Filed under: Hevea brasiliensis (rubber tree)
Lineage: Eukaryota; Viridiplantae; Streptophyta; Magnoliopsida; Malpighiales; Euphorbiaceae
Source: RNAcentral
CGCGAUUCCUAAGUCCAACCCGGAAACUUGAGGCCACGGGCGUAAAUGAAAAUCACAGCCCCUUGUGAAUUGUGACUCGAUCCGAUUCUUACCUGUUUCUCCGCCCAGGAUCCAAUUACUUAACUACUUCGAUUUCAUUGCCUUCAAAUCGAAGCAAACCCCUUGAUUCUUUUGCUAUUUUCUGUGCAAAAAGAACUCAAACAGAUCUUCACAGGGAAUAAAGGAAAAUACAGAAGAAAAAUGGCGGGACGGUUUGGUUCUGCACCCUCGACGAUGAUCGUGACCAACACUCCAGCGUCGGAUCUCGCUCUCACCAACCUCGCCUAUUGCUCAGCGUCCGAUCUACACAACUUCGCCGUCCCUGGAACCAAGUUCUUCAUGGCGUUAAUCGACGAUUCCUUUGUUUUAUCUCUUUCUCCUCACGAAAACAUUCGUCCAAGUAAUAUUGCCCUGAAUGCUAUUCAACGUCGGCAUGCAAGGGUUUCUACUGGAGACUCCAUUUCUGUGAGCAGGUUUAUCCCUCCUGAAAAUUUUAACCUUGCAUUGCUGACACUUGAGUUAGAAUUUGUGAAGAAGGGCACUAAGAAUGAACAGGUGGAUGCUGUUUUACUGGCCAACCAACUCAGAAAGAGAUUUAUUAACCAGGUUAUGACGACAGGGCAAAGAGUAUCAUUUGAGUAUCAUGGGAACAAUUAUAUUUUUACUGUCAAUCAAGCUGUUGUAGAGGGCCGAGAGAAAUCUAAUGAUUUUGAAAGAGGGAUGGUUUCAAGUGACACCUACUUCAUCUUUGAAGCAUCAAAUUCAAGUGGCAUAAAGAUUGUUAAUCAACGUGAAGCUGCCAGUAGCAACAUCUUUAGGCAUAAGGAAUUUAAUCUUGAGUCACUGGGUAUAGGUGGCUUAAGUGCAGAGUUUGCAGAUAUAUUUCGAAGAGCUUUUGCCUCUCGAGUUUUUCCUCCCCAUGUGACAAGCAAAUUGGGGAUUAAGCACGUAAAGGGAAUGCUACUUUAUGGGCCUCCUGGUACUGGAAAAACUCUCAUGGCUCGUCAAAUUGGGAAAAUGUUGAACGGGAGGGAACCAAAGAUUGUUAAUGGCCCUGAAGUCCUGAGCAAGUUUGUUGGUGAAACUGAAAAGAAUGUUAGAGACCUGUUUGCUGAUGCUGAAAAUGAUCAGAGGACACAUGGGGACCAAAGUGAUUUGCAUGUAAUAAUUUUUGAUGAGAUUGAUGCUAUAUGUAAGUCAAGAGGAUCAACAAGAGAUGGCACAGGAGUUCAUGAUAGCAUUGUGAACCAGCUGCUUACAAAGAUAGAUGGUGUGGAGUCUCUGAAUAAUGUUUUACUUAUUGGAAUGACCAACAGAAAGGAUUUGCUUGAUGAAGCACUUUUGAGACCUGGACGAUUGGAAGUUCAAGUUGAGAUAAGCCUUCCUGAUGAAAAUGGUCGUCUGCAAAUUCUUCAAAUUCAUACAAACAAGAUGAAGGAGAAUUCUUUUCUUGCUCCUGAUGUGAACCUUCAAGAGCUAGCUGCUCGGACCAAAAAUUACAGUGGGGCAGAACUUGAAGGUGUUGUAAAAAGCGCAGUAUCAUUUGCUUUGAAUAGACAACUAAGUUUGGAUGAUCUUACUAAGCCAGUAGAUGAAGAGAGUAUUAAAGUUACAAUGGAUGAUUUCCUACAUGCACUCCUAGAAAUUGUUCCUGCAUUUGGGGCCUCCACUGAUGAUCUUGAACGAUGCAGACUUAAUGGCAUGGUGGAAUGUGGUGAUCGACAUGACCAUAUUUAUCAUAGAGCUAGGCUACUGGUGG